GUAACAGGCAGUUGUAGACCCGGUUCAAAAUAAUAUCGAGAUAGCAGACUUUUAAGAGACACUUGAAUCACCCAUGGGUGUUUUUCAUCAAGGCUGAAUGCGCUGAACAGAAAAACAGAAAAUAAAAUCUAUUCUAGUUGGUCACCUAAGCGAACCAAUAAAUAAACAAUUGAAACAGACCAAUGCAGAAGGAACCAACACUAUCGCACCAUUCACCUGCAAUUUUAGACCACUGACAAGCAAUGGUUAGCAAGUACAUGACUCACAGGUGCUCGAAUAGUGUUGGCAUCUGGUCUAGCCUAUCCCAACAACAAAAGUGAACAAAUAACAGAAAACAGAGACAAAUUAGAAAGAAAGUAAUAUAUGAGGGUAAUAUUUAUUGUACAUGUUCAGAAUUGUUGUAUAAUAUAUACUCUAAGCGUCGAAAUGCACGCCAUCGUGUAGGGAUUCAAUAUUUCAACAUUAAUUGUCAUCAUCAGAAAUUCCUGAUGAUGACAUAAUAAUGUCAAAAUAUUGAAUCCCUACAAGACGGCGUGCAUUUCAAUACUUGGGAUUAUGUAUUAUACUAUCUUUAUCUUUCGGUUGUUGUGUGCUGUAGAUUUGUGCUGUAAAUGUUCUUUACUACAAAAUAAUUACCAAAUUACGAAAUGCAAUUUCUUAUUGUUCAUGAUGCUAUUAUAAUUACAGUUAAACUUGCCUAAGUCGACUUUGCCUAACUCAAAUAAUUUCUUAAGUCAGUCAUCUUUUUUAUGCAAAAUUGUUGUGUUUUCCAUUAGUUAACAAUCUGUAAGUCGAGUUUAUCAUAGCCGAACAAAUUUUUCAAUGGCAUUUUGGAUUUGACUUAGGCAAGUUCAUGUGUAUAUAAAAUGUGCAAAUUGAAAGUGCUAUUAAGUGCUAACUAGUAUAAAACAAAUUCCAAAUAAGGUCAGACAAAGCAUUCUAAUUUAAUAUUUGGUCUUUGAUUAUUCUUUACCUGAUUUACAAAUUGCAAAUUGCUACACUGUUCAUGUUCUAAAUGGUACUCAGACUUUAUGAGGUAUUCUUACAACGAAAGAUAAUUUUUGCCUGUUUCCGUGCACUCAGAUAUAUGCUAUGUAAAUUUCUUGGUUAUGUGAGGCUUUCCAUCCCAAAACAGCGUACUGCCGCUAAUUGUUAAUUUGUAUAAGAAUGUUAUAUAUUUAAUGCUUGUGGUACACCACAUAGAUAGUUCUGAAAACCAAACUACAGUAACUGAGACUGUGUGAAAUGGCUAAUACAAAAGCCAGUAAGAAUAUAUUAAAAAAUCAGUUUUCUUUUCAAUGACAAGCCUCAUAUUAGGAAUACUAGUGUGCCAUAGCAUAAUAUGUGGUUUCAAAGACAUAUCUCAGCAGUAUGAGCCUAAAUUAAUCCAUCCAGUAGAUGUUCUUGUUAACUGGGUGCCACAAGGAAUUUUGUCCUCAUUGUCUGUCUGUCUUCAUUGUCUGUCUGUCCUCAUUGUCUGUCCAGGUUGUUAACUUGUAGAACACAUUGUUCUUUUUCUGUGCUGUAUCAUGUAUAAAGAAUGAUUUUUUAAAGUUAUAUGAUUGUCACUUAGGUGCUGCACUGAUUUAAUUGAAAUGAUUACAAGAAUACUUGUAGUGGCACCCUCAGUUAUAUCUUUUAAAGCUUGGUUUUUAUAAAAUUUCUACAUACUGAUGCUGGAGUGGUUGGUGAUGCCAAUUGGUCGUUCAAAUCAAGGGCCUUCACAAAUGUGAUGAGAUGUCUACACAGUGUAAUGAUUACAUUGAAUACACUGUGACAGCAAAUACAUUUUUUAAAACCAGGCUCCACAUGAGUAUAUUCAUAGGUGAAAUAAUGUGAUUUUUUUCAUUUAAAAUUUAAUGUGUUUUUGAAAGCCCCACGAACAAAGACAUUAAAGGUGGCUAAAUAAAUAUUUCUGGAUAGAAAUCCUACCAGUAUUACUGUUAUUUUCUCUCUGUAAUUGUCUACAGAUUUUUUGUGAGAUUAAGACUUAAAUGUGGUGCAUUCAUGGAUAAUAGUUAAAAUAUAUGUAUGACCAGUCAUCAUUUCUGUAUUACCACUAUGAAAGGUGCAUAAGACUAAUGCCAUGUGUUGAACCGUUAAACAGAUCUAAUAAACUUGUACAGUAAAAUACAA
Long non-coding RNA from Anneissia japonica, 2136 nucleotides. RefSeq lists it as uncharacterized. The transcript is spliced from 2 exons. The record is from RefSeq and is a predicted model, not a curated record. NCBI's taxonomy places the organism in Eukaryota, Metazoa, Echinodermata, Crinoidea, Comatulida, Comatulidae.